This 2021-nucleotide long non-coding RNA is filed under the name Pongo abelii (Sumatran orangutan). RNAcentral describes it as "lincRNA". Lineage: Eukaryota; Metazoa; Chordata; Mammalia; Primates; Hominidae. The record is from RNAcentral.
GUUCUUCAUGUUCCGCUAUUUCUAGCUGUUGGCCCUACUCCUUUCUGUGCCUAAAUGCCCUACCUCCCACUCCUUUUCUGAGAAAGAUCUUCUGCCCUGUCAGUUAUGAAGUAAAGACAUCCUGAGAUUCCUGCUCUUUCUUUUUUCUUUCUUUCUUUCUCUCUUUUUUUUUUUUUUGAUGGAGUUUUGCUCUUGUUGCCCAGGCUGGAGUGCAAUGGCGCAAUCUCAACUCACUGCAGCCUCCGCCACCCAGGCCCACCUCGGUCUCCCAAAGUGCUGGCAUUACAGGUGUGAGCCACCAUGCCCGGCCUCCUGCUCUUCUUUCAACCCUCUGCUCAGCAUCUUAGGCCUCACUGGUGAUGUCCCACCUUGCUAGGUAGCAUCUUUCGUGAAUAUUUCUCCACCAAACAUUCUGUUGUUGGCUAGAUGGCCUAGUUAAUCUACACAUUUCAUUUUAUCACCUUCUCCAGAUGUUUUUUUGUGUAUGCCAGCCAAUACAUUCUGGGGAGAAUGCCUUAAUAUAUGGGAAUAAUUAACUCGUGGCCAAGAAGGAAAUAACCAAGGGGACUUUUACUCUGAACCUAAUUCAAACCAAAGAGACAGCCUGAGAGAAAGCAGCUCUGUCAUCCUUGAGUUAGGAACAUCCAGGAAGGGAAGGCUAGGGUGGGGGAGUGAGUAAAACAGAUGGCAUUUAGGGAAGAACCAACAGGACUUUAAGAGGCAUGGCAGAGGGGCUUUGAUCCUGGCUAAACCAUCAGGGAAGGCAAUUGGAGCUGGGUGAACAGAUGGGGCCUUGUUACUGAAGAGAAAACGGUAAGGAGGCAGGGGGAAAUGGGACGUGUGCUAUAGCAGAGUGCCUCAUUCAGUGGAUGCAGUGAGAGCAGAGGCUGUUGGAAAAGUGGAUCAGGGGAGGACCAUGCCACCAGGUGGGCAUCAGCAGAGUAUCACCCGAGUAUUGCAGAGGGAUACCAAAUAAGUCCACAUGGAGCCAGAACUGAAACCCUUUGGAGGUCAGUUUACCCCUUCAGAAGUAGUGUACCACCAUCCAUCUACCACUGGAAUCCAAUUUCAGUUUUGGCAAAUUGUUAUAAAUAGGAAAAAGUCAGGGUUCCACAAUUCUGGCAGCACCCAGAGACUAUAACAGCAUCUGCACAGCCAAGCAGUUAGGAAACCUGGAUCCUAAUCCUGACUUUGCCUCUGAUUAGAUGUGUGACCCUGGGCUGGAGCUGUUUCUUCAGUUGUAAAAUGCUGUUUAUUGAUGUUAGGUAGCAGCUAAUAAGGAUGGAGGUGGAGCUGGGUACAGUGGCUCACACCUGUAAUCUCAGCAGUUUGACAGGCCAAGGCAGGAGGAUUGCUUGAGGCCAGGGAUUUGAGACCAGCUUGGGCUACACAGUGAGACUCUGCCUCUACUAAAAAGUAAAAAAAAAAAUAACUCAGUGCAGUGAUGCAUGCCUGUAGUUCCAGCUACUCAGGAGGUUGGGGUAGGAGGGUUGCUUGAGCCCAGGAGUUUGAGGCUGCAGUGAACUAUGAUCAAUCACACCACUGCAUUCUAGUAGCCUGAGUGACAGAGCAAGACCUGUCUCUAAAAAAAAAGAAAUUUUUUUUUUAAGGGUGGAGGUAAGGAAAUUCAAAGCUACUUACUAGCUGUGUGACCUUGCCUAAACUACCUUCUUGGAUUUGCAGUCUGUUUAUUUGAAAAUGUCAUAAGGGAUAAAUGAGAUUCCUUAUGUAAAGUACUUUAUAAAUAUUAAGCACUUACCAAAUGUUAGUCUGUUUUCACAUUAUUCUUCUUGGAUUACCAGAAAUUGGUUUGACUAUGAAUAAACAGGAGAUAAUUUCUUGGGUAAUCUGAGUUUGAAUCCCCCUUCUCUCUCUUACUAAUUGUAUGACUUUGAUUAGGUUAUUUAAUAUUUAAUUGUUCUGGGUCUCAGUUUUCUCAUCUGUGAAAUUAAAAUGAUGUGUUCUUCAGAAUUGUGAGGGUUAAAUGUGAUAAAAGUCCUGACUCGUGAGAAAAUGCUCAA